UACGGAGGGGGCGAGCGUUAUUCGGAAUUAUUGGGCGUAAAGGGCGCGUAGGCGGCUUGGUAAGUCAAAGGUGAAAUCCCUCGGCUCAACUGAGGAAUUGCCUUUGAAACUGCCUGGCUCGAGGCCGGGAGGGGGUAGCGGAAUUCCCAGUGUAGCGGUGAAAUGCGUAGAUAUUGGGAGGAACACCGGUGGCGAAGGCGGCUACCUGGACCGGUUCUGACGCUGAUGCGCGAAAGCGUGGGGAG
RNAcentral lists this ribosomal RNA (245 nucleotides) under uncultured bacterium. RNAcentral's name for it is "partial 16S ribosomal RNA". It matches the Rfam family "Bacterial small subunit ribosomal RNA", at positions 524 to 768 of the family's 1533-position model. The record is from RNAcentral.